Molecule: long non-coding RNA, 298 nt
Organism: Erinaceus europaeus (western European hedgehog)
Lineage: Eukaryota; Metazoa; Chordata; Mammalia; Eulipotyphla; Erinaceidae
Exons: 2
Source: RefSeq, a predicted model, not a curated record
GAGGCGGGGGCAGGAGAAAACAACUUAAUGGGUUUUAAUGGCCUUGAGCUGGAGCCUAAGAAUUCUCCUGCCUUCAGUCCACUGUGCCAUGGAGCUGGUGAACAAACACCCCGCUGGUUAUGAAGACCACUUUCUCUCUGGCCAUUAUUCAAGGCUGUGCCAGGAGCUGGAUUCCCUCCAUCAUCAAGACCAAAUUCAACCUGCUUGUGCUUUGCUACUACUGAACAAUGAGUUUGGAGCUGGAGUACAGGAAAUUGGAACUGUUUUACUGUAAAAUUGCCCACUACAUACUAUACUC